CGAAAAUGCGUCCCGAUCGAGUGUCAAGCAGACUACAUAGAUCAUUUGUUCCUAUCUGCCAAGGCUUGGGUAGCUGGAGAGUGAGCAGUGCCAUCGCCUUUUCUCCGCUGAUGGAUGUCUGUCUGGUGUUAAGGGUCUUGUAAGGAGUAAGUGGCAGCACAUCCAUCGUAUCUGAGCACCAUCAGGCAAGAGAGGGAUUGCCUCUGCACUGUUUCUGGUGGAAAAGAAAUGAAAACACCAGUUAUCUUUACUUUCUCCAGCCCCCGCCAAGUGGAUUUGCCAAUCGGAUCAGCCCAUCACUAAGACCAGCAAACUCUAGGCAAACUCCAUGUGCCUUCCUGCAAAACAUGCCGUGCCCAUGGCAGAUUGGUCACCGGCUGAAGCAGUGCCAAUGUCAAGCUACAGGGGUGGCAGCUACACGCCAAGCAGGGGACCUGGAGAGCACCCUGGGGUGGUAUUUCAGCUUCAUGCCACACAUACAGCCGUCUGCUUUUCCACGCUGUCCUUUGGCCUUCCCUGGUUUGCUGAACUGUUAUGCGAGUCUGCCUAAGGAUAAUGUAAGGCAGUGUUUGGUUAAUAAGAUGUCAUUGCAUACACGCAGGAGAAAACUCAUUUCACAGCUAACAGGUUUCUCAGUCUGA
This 641-nucleotide long non-coding RNA is filed under the name Lepisosteus oculatus (spotted gar). RNAcentral's name for it is "lncRNA (ENSLOCG00000022678.1)". The record is from RNAcentral. Lineage: Eukaryota; Metazoa; Chordata; Actinopteri; Semionotiformes; Lepisosteidae.